This 253-nucleotide ribosomal RNA is filed under the name uncultured bacterium. RNAcentral's name for it is "partial 16S ribosomal RNA". It matches the Rfam family "Bacterial small subunit ribosomal RNA", at positions 524 to 776 of the family's 1533-position model. The record is from RNAcentral.
UACAGAGGUCUCAAGCGUUGUUCGGAUUCAUUGGGCGUAAAGGGUGCGUAGGCGGCGCGGUAAGUCGGGUGUGAAAUCUUGGAGCUUAACUCCGAAACUGCAUUCGAUACUGCCGUGCUUGAGGACUGGAGAGGAGACUGGAAUUUACGGUGUAGCGGUGAAAUGCGUAGAUAUCGUAAGGAAGACCAGUGGCGAAGGCGGGUCUCUGGGCAGUAACUGACGCUGAGGAGCGAAAGCGUGGGGAGCGAACAGG